Molecule: ribosomal RNA, 768 nt
Filed under: Arthrobacter sp.
Lineage: Bacteria; Bacillati; Actinomycetota; Actinomycetes; Micrococcales; Micrococcaceae
Description: bacterial SSU rRNA
Rfam family: Bacterial small subunit ribosomal RNA
Source: RNAcentral
CCGGUGCUUGCAUCGGGGAUUAGUGGCGAACGGGUGAGUAACACGUGAGUAACCUGCCCUUGACUCUGGGAUAAGCCUGGGAAACUGGGUCUAAUACCGGAUAUGACCUUCCAUCGCAUGGUGGUUGGUGGAAAGCUUUUGUGGUUUUGGAUGGACUCGCGGCCUAUCAGCUUGUUGGUGGGGUAAUGGCCUACCAAGGCGACGACGGGUAGCCGGCCUGAGAGGGUGACCGGCCACACUGGGACUGAGACACGGCCCAGACUCCUACGGGAGGCAGCAGUGGGGAAUAUUGCACAAUGGGCGCAAGCCUGAUGCAGCGACGCCGCGUGAGGGAUGACGGCCUUCGGGUUGUAAACCUCUUUCAGUAGGGAAGAAGCGAAAGUGACGGUACCUGCAGAAGAAGCGCCGGCUAACUACGUGCCAGCAGCCGCGGUAAUACGUAGGGCGCAAGCGUUAUCCGGAAUUAUUGGGCGUAAAGAGCUCGUAGGCGGUUUGUCGCGUCUGCCGUGAAAGUCCGGGGCUCAACUCCGGAUCUGCGGUGGGUACGGGCAGACUAGAGUGAUGUAGGGGAGACUGGAAUUCCUGGUGUAGCGGUGAAAUGCGCAGAUAUCAGGAGGAACACCGAUGGCGAAGGCAGGUCUCUGGGCAUUAACUGACGCUGAGGAGCGAAAGCAUGGGGAGCGAACAGGAUUAGAUACCCUGGUAGUCCAUGCCGUAAACGUUGGGCACUAGGUGUGGGGGACAUUCCACGUUUUCCGCGCCGUAGCU